This 449-nucleotide ribosomal RNA is filed under the name uncultured bacterium. RNAcentral describes it as "SSU rRNA". It matches the Rfam family "Bacterial small subunit ribosomal RNA", at positions 26 to 518 of the family's 1533-position model. The record is from RNAcentral.
AGAGCGAACGCUGGCGGCAGGCUUAACACAUGCAAGUCGAGCGGGCGUAGCAAUACGUCAGCGGCAGACGGGUGAGUAACGCGUGGGAACGUACCUUUUGGUUCGGAACAACCCAGGGAAACUUGGGCUAAUACCGGAUAAGCCCUUACGGGGAAAGAUUUAUCGCCGAAAGAUCGGCCCGCGUCUGAUUAGCUAGUUGGUGAGGUAAUGGCUCACCAAGGCGACGAUCAGUAGCUGGUCUGAGAGGAUGAUCAGCCACAUUGGGACUGAGACACGGCCCAAACUCCUACGGGAGGCAGCAGUGGGGAAUAUUGGACAAUGGGCGCAAGCCUGAUCCAGCCAUGCCGCGUGAGUGAUGAAGGCCCUAGGGUUGUAAAGCUCUUUUGUGCGGGAAGAUAAUGACGGUACCGCAAGAAUAACGCCCCGGCUAACUUCGCGCCAGCAGCCGC